GGUCCGCCGAUCAGGUAGCGCAUGAACUUGAACUGCGAACACGUACGUAGUGUUUAAAAGUGUGCCAGUCGCAGUCGCACGCACAGCAAGAGAGCGCGGGUGGGAUACACAACAAGCGGGAAUGGCGAAGGAGAGACGACUCGUAUGCCAAUUGUCGGUUGUUAUUGGUCAGCAAUACAUGUCUUGCGAUGAUGAAGCUAAGCGUCUUCCUCGUCAGAGUGAAAGUAUUGAUAUUCUGCUUGGCUCAAACGCAC
This 254-nucleotide long non-coding RNA is filed under the name Volvox carteri. Its description in RNAcentral is "long non-coding RNA (VCAR_LNC001125)". Lineage: Eukaryota; Viridiplantae; Chlorophyta; Chlorophyceae; Chlamydomonadales; Volvocaceae. The record is from RNAcentral.